Molecule: microRNA precursor, 62 nt
Filed under: Pristionchus pacificus
Lineage: Eukaryota; Metazoa; Nematoda; Chromadorea; Rhabditida; Neodiplogasteridae
Description: mir-8364 microRNA precursor family
Rfam family: mir-8364 microRNA precursor family
Source: Rfam by way of RNAcentral
UCCUCAUUUCCCACACUCUCUCGCUGGUCAGAGAAGCCGAGAGAGUGUGUGAAAUGAUGAGA